GACGAACGCUGGCGGCGUGCUUAACACAUGCAAGUCGAACGGAAAGGCCCUGCUUUUGUGGGGUGCUCGAGUGGCGAACGGGUGAGUAACACGUGAGUAACCUGCCCUUGACUUUGGGAUAACUUCAGGAAACUGGGGCUAAUACCGGAUAGGAGCUCCUGCUGCAUGGUGGGGGUUGGAAAGGUUCGGCGGUUGGGGAUGGACGCGCGGCUUAUGAGCUUGUUGGUGGGGUAGUGGCUGACCAAGGCUUAGCGGGGUAGCCGGCCUGAGAGGGUGACCGGCCACAUUGGGAUUGGGAUAGGGCCCGGACUCAUACGGGAGGCAGCAGUGGGGGAUAUUGCACAAUGGGCGGAAGCCUGAUGCAGCAACGCCGCGUGCGGGAUGACGGCCUUCGGGUUGUAAACCGCUUUCGCCUGUGACGAAGCGUGAGUGACGGUAAUGGGUAAAGAAGCACCGGCUAACUACGUG
Molecule: ribosomal RNA, 468 nt
Filed under: uncultured bacterium
Lineage: Bacteria
Description: partial 16S ribosomal RNA
Rfam family: Bacterial small subunit ribosomal RNA
Source: RNAcentral